GACGAACCGAGCGAACGUUGUUCGGAAUCACUGGGCUUAAAGGGCGCGUAGGCGGGCAAGCAAGUCCGGGGUGAAAGCUUUCGGCUCAACCGGAAAAGGGCCUUGGAUACUGCUUGUCUUGAGGGAGGUAGGGGCCCGUGGAACUUCCGGUGGAGCGGUGAAAUGCGUUGAUAUCGGAAGGAACGCCGGUGGCGAAGGCGGUUCUCUGGGCCUUACCUGACGCUGAGGAGCGAAAGCAUGGGGAGCAAACAGG
Molecule: ribosomal RNA, 253 nt
Filed under: uncultured bacterium
Lineage: Bacteria
Description: partial 16S ribosomal RNA
Rfam family: Bacterial small subunit ribosomal RNA
Source: RNAcentral